This 153-nucleotide microRNA precursor is filed under the name Arabidopsis lyrata. RNAcentral describes it as "miR4249 stem-loop (aly-MIR4249)". The record is from miRBase by way of RNAcentral. Lineage: Eukaryota; Viridiplantae; Streptophyta; Magnoliopsida; Brassicales; Brassicaceae.
UACACAUUUCUUGUUCAGGUUGAAUUUGAGAAGUUGAGGUAGGUUUACCAACUCUUGAAUUUCUCACACUCUCGAUCAAGUUUCUCUUAUCGAGUUUGGUUUCUCAAACCCACCUCAAAUUCUCCAAUUCCACCAGAACCUUAAAAAUCUUUA